GACGAACGCUGGCGGCGUGCCUAAUACAUGCAAGUUGAGCGCUGAAGGUUGGUACUUGUACCAACUGGAUGAGCAGCGAACGGGUGAGUAACGCGUGGGGAAUCUGCCUUUGAGCGGGGGACAACAUUUGGAAACGAAUGCUAGUACCGCAUAAAAACUUUAAACACAAGUUUUAAGUUUGAAAGAUGCAAUUGCAUCACUCAAAGAUGAUCCCGCGUUGUAUUAGCUAGUUGGUGAGGUAAAGGCUCACCAAGGCGAUGAUACAUAGCCGACCUGAGAGGGUGAUCGGCCACAUUGGGAAUGAGACACGGCCCAAACACCUACGGGAGGCAGCAGUAGGGAAUCUUCGGCAAUGGACGAAAGUCUGACCGGGCAACGCCGCGUGAGUGAAGAAGGUUUUCGGAUCGUAAAACUCUGUUGGUAGAGAAGAGCGUUGGUGAGAGUGGAAAGCUCAUCAAGUGACGGUAACUACCCAGAAAGGGACGGCUAACUACGUG
RNAcentral lists this ribosomal RNA (497 nucleotides) under uncultured bacterium. RNAcentral describes it as "partial 16S ribosomal RNA". It matches the Rfam family "Bacterial small subunit ribosomal RNA", at positions 28 to 507 of the family's 1533-position model. The record is from RNAcentral.